This 554-nucleotide non-coding RNA is filed under the name Pan troglodytes (chimpanzee). The record is from RNAcentral. Lineage: Eukaryota; Metazoa; Chordata; Mammalia; Primates; Hominidae.
ACAGGAAGAGAAUUGGAAAUGCUGGAGAAGCUCUGGAAGCCCACAGAGAACAGAUGCAUAAACACCAUUUACCAGACACAGCUCAGCAAACCCUCUCUCUCUUCCUUCCAGCAGCUUGGUUGUCCUCAAGGAGUUCCUAAAUUUCAUACUUCUGAGGGUUAUAUGGGAUGGUGAGGGGUGGAGGAGAGUAGCACGGAUUGAAAAAUACAUUAAUGUUGGCUGGGCACAGUAGCUCACGCCUGUAAUCCCAGCACUUUGGGAGGCCGAGGCUGGUAUAUCACCUGAGGUCAGGAGUUUGAGACCAGCCUGGCCACAUGGCGAAACCCCAUCUCUACUAAAAAUACAAAAUUUAGCUGGGUGUGAUGGCACAUGCUUGUAAUCCCAGCUACUCAGGGGGCUGAGGCAGGAGAAUCGCUUGAACCCAGGAAGCAGAGGUUGCAGUGAACUGAGAUUGCAGCAUUGCACUCCAGCCUGGGCAACAAGAGAGAUGCUCCAUCUUAAAAAAAAAAAAGAAAGAAAAAUGCAUUAAAGUGUACCAAAAUAAAUAUAUGACA